This 728-nucleotide small RNA is filed under the name Philonotis marchica. RNAcentral describes it as "eukaryotic LSU rRNA". The stretch from base 311 to 463 matches the Rfam family "5.8S ribosomal RNA". The record is from RNAcentral. Lineage: Eukaryota; Viridiplantae; Streptophyta; Bryopsida; Bartramiales; Bartramiaceae.
UGUUGCAGUAAACCCGGCUCGCGCCGGGCCGUUUGGCGAAGUACCACAUUGUCCCUCACGUCGUCCCGCUCGGUCGGUCGGGCUCUUCCUCCUCCCUUCUUCGGACGGGGCGAGCGAGGGGUCCGGCCCCCCCCGGCGGGCGCGACCACGAUCUCACCGAUCGCGCAAUGCAUCGACGCUCUGACCCACGACUGAGUCCCUAGAACGAUUCGAGGAGUUGGCUUUGAUGACGGACGGGCGGGGACCCCAAAACCCGCCCGCCCGCCGUGAUGGAGACCCCCCGAGUAAGUUGGAUCUAUAACUUAGAAACAACUCUCAGCAACGGAUAUCUUGGCUCUUGCAACGAUGAAGAACGCAGCGAAAUGCGAUACGUAGUGUGAAUUGCAGAAUUCCGCGAAUCAUCGAGUCUUUGAACGCAAGUUGCGCCCGAGGCUUGUCCGAGGGCAUUUCCGCUAGAGCGUCACCGCGCUACCCCCACCGACCCCCUAACCCCGAGUCGAGUGGAAGUGGCCGUCCCGUCGAUCGGGUCGGCUGAAAUGGAUGGAAUUUGGCCGUCGUGGCGACGGAGCCCCGCGAUCAGGUGAUCCGAGCGAGAGCCCGGAACUCAAACGUGCGAGGCCCCCGUCCGCCCAGUCGGCGUCCCGGAAUGAGAAAAGCAGGUCUGCGCGUUCCGGCCGGCCCCCCUCGGGGGUCGGUCGAUCGAACGCGCAUCAGAGUCACGCACCGGA